CCUACGGGAGGCAGCAGUGGGGAAUAUUGCACAAUGGGGGAAACCCUGAUGCAGCGACGCCGCGUGAGUGAAGAAGUAUUUCGGUAUGUAAAGCUCUAUCAGCAGGGAAGAAGAAAGACGGUACCUGACUAAGAAGCCCCGGCUAACUACGUGCCAGCAGCCGCGGUAAUACGUAGGGGGCAAGCGUUAUCCGGAUUUACUGGGUGUAAAGGGAGCGUAGACGGCUGUGCAAGUCUGAAGUGAAAGGCCAGGGCUCAAGCCUGGGACUGCUUUGGAAACUGUGGAGCUAGAGUGCUGGAGAGGUAAGUGGAAUUCCUAGUGUAGCGGUGAAAUGCGUAGAUAUUAGGAGGAACACCAGUGGCGAAGGCGGCUUACUGGACAGUAACUGACGUUGAGGCUCGAAAGCGUGGGGAGCAAACAGGAUUAGAUACCCUUGUAGUC
This 441-nucleotide ribosomal RNA is filed under the name uncultured bacterium. RNAcentral's name for it is "partial 16S ribosomal RNA". It matches the Rfam family "Bacterial small subunit ribosomal RNA", at positions 338 to 795 of the family's 1533-position model. The record is from RNAcentral.